AACAAGGAUUCCCCUAGUAACGGCGAGUGAAGCGGGAAGAGCUCAAAUUUGAAAUCUGGCAGUCUUCGAUUGUCCGAGUUGUAAUCUAUAGAGGCGUUUUCCGUGCCGGACCGUGUCCAAGUCUCCUGGAAAGGAGUAUCAAAGAGGGUGAUAAUCCCGUACUUAACACGACCACCGGUGCUCUGUGAUACGUCUUCUACGAGUCGAGUUGUUUGGGAAUGCAGCUCAAAAUGGGUGGUGAAUUCCAUCUAAAGCUAAAUAUUGGCGAGAGACCGAUAGCGAACAAGUACCGUGAGGGAAAGAUGAAAAGCACUUUGGAAAGAGAGUUAAACAGUACGUGAAAUUGUUGAAAGGGAAACGAUUGAAGUCAGUCGUGUUCUUUGGAUUCAGCCAGUUCUGCUGGUCUACUUCCUUGGAACGGGUCAACAUCAGUUUUGUCCGGUGGAUAAAGGUAGUAGGAAUGUGACUUCUCCGGAAGUGUUAUAGCCUAUUAUCACAUACACUGGGUGAGACUGAGGACUGCAGCUCGCCUUUAUGGCCGGCCUUCGGGCACGUUCGAGCUUAGGAUGUUGACAUAAUGGCUUUAA
Molecule: ribosomal RNA, 587 nt
Filed under: Trichosporon asahii
Lineage: Eukaryota; Fungi; Basidiomycota; Tremellomycetes; Trichosporonales; Trichosporonaceae
Description: partial large subunit ribosomal RNA
Rfam family: Eukaryotic large subunit ribosomal RNA
Source: RNAcentral